AGUUAAUGAACUUGUAAAGUAUAUGUUUUGAAAAUAUAAAAAAGUAAUUCGAAUUUACUAUUAACUU
This 67-nucleotide transfer RNA is filed under the name Galerucinae sp. 846596. RNAcentral's name for it is "tRNA-Ser". It matches the Rfam family "tRNA". Rfam says of the family: Transfer RNA (tRNA) molecules are approximately 80 nucleotides in length. Their secondary structure includes four short double-helical elements and three loops (D, anti-codon, and T loops). RNAcentral also lists the same sequence under 1 other name. Lineage: Eukaryota; Metazoa; Arthropoda; Insecta; Coleoptera; Chrysomelidae. The record is from RNAcentral.